Molecule: long non-coding RNA, 1440 nt
Organism: Quercus robur (English oak)
Lineage: Eukaryota; Viridiplantae; Streptophyta; Magnoliopsida; Fagales; Fagaceae
Exons: 2
Source: RefSeq, a predicted model, not a curated record
GAAAAGCAAAAUUUUAGCCAUCAAAGAUUUCUGCUGCGGUUGUAGCCAACCAUGUUGAAUUUUUGUGUUCACCUAUUGCUCCUUCCUCUCAUUCUUCUUGUUUUGCUCUUUAUAUUUUCUCUAGUACAUCAAUUCAAUUUUGCUCUCAUUCUACAUGGUACCUGAGCUAUGUUAAUCUUUUUUGAUAUGGUAUUAUAACAAAAAAAUCUAAGACGUUAAGGACUUGUUUUAUAUUAUGGAGGUUCAGUGAACAUUAUGCAGAGUCUCUCUACCAUUUCCUUCUCUUCUGUUUUGGUCAGUUUGUUCUUCAUCACUUUGGGUUGUGGGGCUUACUUCCUAGCCCCAAUGGGAGUAGUGACAAGUGUAAUAAGUUGUUGGGUGACUGGAAGGUUGUUAUGAGAUUUCUAUUGGAUUAAGCGUGCAUUUGACAUGCUGAAAAACUGCUGCGUUUUUGCGUUUUACUUAAAUUUAUGAGUCCCUUUUCACUGUUCAUUGGGCCCAUAGCCGAAAGCAAAAAACAUAGAUUAUUUUUAAGGAAACAGUGCGUUCAGCAACGGAUAGUUUUUGAAUCUGACGUUUCUCUUCAACUGUAUCUUGCAAGAAGAUCUCCCUUCUUCUUCCUCAUCAAUGCCCCCAACUUCUUCCUCAUCAAUACCCCAAGUUUUUUCUGAAGCUCUUUAAUUUUACAUCUACCACCAACUGUCCCAAUUUAUCCGUGGUUUCUAAUACACAAAAACUCAUCAAUACCCCAAGUGAUACAAACUCUUUGGAACAGCCCUUAUCACUGUGAUUUUCUUGGCUUCGAGAGUCUAUUUACCACAAAGCUGAUGCCGCUGCUGUGAGGGAGAGAUGCUGAUAGCAGACCAUUUCUUAACAACUUCAAGAUGGUGACAAGCUAGUGCACGGGUAAGCGAGAGUGAGAGAGAAGUAAGCAAAGUGUUGCAAGAAAGUGCUCUCUUUUAUGGUCUAGAAGUGAAUUCAACUAUAGCAAGAGAGAAAGCGGACCAAGAAGAAAGAGGAAAGGGGGAGGUAUCAUAUGUGCAGAAACCAAAAACCAACCUGACCAACCCAUCCACAACUCUUCUAAUAUGUGCAGAAACUUUCAGCAUGGAUGCUUUUACUUUGGUGAAGCAUGCAAAUGUCUAUUUGUGACUCAACAACACCAUAGUUCUAUUUGCUACCACAUACAAAGUUGUUCGCUUUGGAGACUGGGUCGCCAUCUCUAAUUAAGUUGUAAUGUCCAAGGUUGAUAAACGAAAGUCGAUUUUGUACCAACUAGAAAGAGUAUGGUGAGUUUGAUUUAAUAGAAUUUAAUUCAUUAUCAUUAUUUGAUUAAUCUCCUUUCCUUGACGAAUUCAGCAAAAUCAAAUUUGUACCAACUAGAAUGAGUAUGGUGUGUUUGAUUUAAUAGAAUUUGAUUCAUUAUCAUAAUUUGAUUGA